This 3071-nucleotide ribosomal RNA is filed under the name Campylobacter jejuni. RNAcentral's name for it is "23S ribosomal RNA". It matches the Rfam family "Bacterial large subunit ribosomal RNA". The record is from RNAcentral. Lineage: Bacteria; Pseudomonadati; Campylobacterota; Epsilonproteobacteria; Campylobacterales; Campylobacteraceae.
AAAAAAGGUAAGCUACUAAGAGCGAAUGGUGGAUGCCUUGACUGGUAGAGGCGAUGAAGGACGUACUAGACUGCGAUAAGCUACGGGGAGCUGUCAAGAAGCUUUGAUCCGUAGAUUUCCGAAUGGGGCAACCCAAUGUAUAGAGAUAUACAUUACCUAUAUAGGAGCGAACGAGGGGAAUUGAAACAUCUUAGUACCCUCAGGAAAAGAAAUCAAUAGAGAUUGCGUCAGUAGCGGCGAGCGAAAGCGCAAGAGGGCAAACCCAGUGCUUGAACUGGGGGUUGUAGGACUGCAAUGUGCAAGAGGUAAGUUUAGCAGAACAUUCUGGAAAGUAUAACCAUAGAGGGUGAUAGUCCCGUAUGCGAAAAACAAACCUUAGCUAGCAGUAUCCUGAGUAGGGCGGGACACGAGGAAUCCUGUCUGAAUCCGGGUCGACCACGAUCCAACCCUAAAUACUAAUACCAGAUCGAUAGUGCACAAGUACCGUGAGGGAAAGGUGAAAAGAACUGAGGUGAUCAGAGUGAAAUAGAACCUGAAACCAUUUGCUUACAAUCAUUCAGAGCACUAUGUAGCAAUACAGUGUGAUGGACUGCCUUUUGCAUAAUGAGCCUGCGAGUUGUGGUGUCUGGCAAGGUUAAGCAAACGCGAAGCCGUAGCGAAAGCGAGUCUGAAUAGGGCGCUUAGUCAGAUGCUGCAGACCCGAAACGAAGUGAUCUAUCCAUGAGCAAGUUGAAGCUAGUGUAAGAACUAGUGGAGGACUGAACCCAUAGGCGUUGAAAAGCCCCGGGAUGACUUGUGGAUAGGGGUGAAAGGCCAAUCAAACUUCGUGAUAGCUGGUUCUCUCCGAAAUAUAUUUAGGUAUAGCGUUGUGUCGUAAUAUAAGGGGGUAGAGCACUGAAUGGGCUAGGGCAUACACCAAUGUACCAAACCCUAUCAAACUCCGAAUACCUUAUAUGUAAUCACAGCAGUCAGGCGGCGAGUGAUAAAAUCCGUCGUCAAGAGGGAAACAACCCAGACUACCAGCUAAGGUCCCUAAAUCUUACUUAAGUGGAAAACGAUGUGAAGUUACUUAAACAACCAGGAGGUUGGCUUAGAAGCAGCCAUCCUUUAAAGAAAGCGUAAUAGCUCACUGGUCUAGUGAUUUUGCGCGGAAAAUAUAACGGGGCUAAAGUAAGUACCGAAGCUGUAGACUUGCACACAACUUAGAUUAUUUAAGUUUAGAAUAUGAGAAACUAAGUUAUAUGUUUAGUUAUAUUUUUACUGAUUUUUAUAGAGUAAAGAUAGAAAUAAAACUUAGUAAAAUCAGUAAAAAUAUUCUUAGACUAAAGUUAAGUAGUUUAAGUUGUGUGCAAGUGGUAGGAGAGCGUUCUAUUUGCGUCGAAGGUAUACCGGUAAGGAGUGCUGGAGCGAAUAGAAGUGAGCAUGCAGGCAUGAGUAGCGAUAAUUAAUGUGAGAAUCAUUAACGCCGUAAACCCAAGGUUUCCUACGCGAUGCUCGUCAUCGUAGGGUUAGUCGGGUCCUAAGUCGAGUCCGAAAGGGGUAGACGAUGGCAAAUUGGUUAAUAUUCCAAUACCAACAUUAGUGUGCGAUGGAAGGACGCUUAGGGCUAAGGGGGCUAGCGGAUGGAAGUGCUAGUCUAAGGUCGUAGGAGGUUGUACAGGCAAAUCCGUAUAACAAUACUCCGAGAACUGAAAGGCUUUUUGAAGUCUUCGGAUGGAUAGAAGAACCCCUGAUGCCGUCGAGCCAAGAAAAGUUUCUAAGUUUAGCUAAUGUUGCCCGUACCGUAAACCGACACAGGUGGGUGGGAUGAGUAUUCUAAGGCGCGUGGAAGAACUCUCUUUAAGGAACUCUGCAAAAUAGCACCGUAUCUUCGGUAUAAGGUGUGGUUAGCUUUGUAUUAGGAUUUACUCCGAAAGCAAGGAAACUUACAACAAAGAGUCCCUCCCGACUGUUUACCAAAAACACAGCACUCUGCUAACUCGUAAGAGGAUGUAUAGGGUGUGACGCCUGCCCGGUGCUCGAAGGUUAAUUGAUGGGGUUAGCAUUAGCGAAGCUCUUGAUCGAAGCCCGAGUAAACGGCGGCCGUAACUAUAACGGUCCUAAGGUAGCGAAAUUCCUUGUCGGUUAAAUACCGACCUGCAUGAAUGGCGUAACGAGAUGGGAGCUGUCUCAAAGAGGGAUCCAGUGAAAUUGUAGUGGAGGUGAAAAUUCCUCCUACCCGCGGCAAGACGGAAAGACCCCGUGGACCUUUACUACAGCUUGACACUGCUACUUGGAUAAGAAUGUGCAGGAUAGGUGGGAGGCUUUGAGUAUAUGACGCCAGUUGUAUAUGAGCCAUUGUUGAGAUACCACUCUUUCUUAUUUGGGUAGCUAACCAGCUUGAGUUAUCCUCAAGUGGGACAAUGUCUGGUGGGUAGUUUGACUGGGGCGGUCGCCUCCCAAAUAAUAACGGAGGCUUACAAAGGUUGGCUCAGAACGGUUGGAAAUCGUUCGUAGAGUAUAAAGGUAUAAGCCAGCUUAACUGCAAGACAUACAAGUCAAGCAGAGACGAAAGUCGGUCUUAGUGAUCCGGUGGUUCUGUGUGGAAGGGCCAUCGCUCAAAGGAUAAAAGGUACCCCGGGGAUAACAGGCUGAUCUCCCCCAAGAGCUCACAUCGACGGGGAGGUUUGGCACCUCGAUGUCGGCUCAUCGCAUCCUGGGGCUGGAGCAGGUCCCAAGGGUAUGGCUGUUCGCCAUUUAAAGCGGUACGCGAGCUGGGUUCAGAACGUCGUGAGACAGUUCGGUCCCUAUCUGCCGUGGGCGUAAGAAGAUUGAAGAGAUUUGACCCUAGUACGAGAGGACCGGGUUGAACAAACCACUGGUGUAGCUGUUGUUCUGCCAAGAGCAUCGCAGCGUAGCUAAGUUUGGAAAGGAUAAACGCUGAAAGCAUCUAAGCGUGAAGCCAACUCUAAGAUGAAUCUUCUCUAAGCUCUCUAGAAGACUACUAGUUUGAUAGGCUGGGUGUGUAAUGGAUGAAAGUCCUUUAGCUGACCAGUACUAAUAGAGCGUUUGGCUUAUCUUUAAUAAAGCAU